Molecule: ribosomal RNA, 484 nt
Filed under: uncultured bacterium
Lineage: Bacteria
Description: partial 16S ribosomal RNA
Rfam family: Bacterial small subunit ribosomal RNA
Source: RNAcentral
AUUGAACGCUGGCGGCAGGCCUAACACAUGCAAGUCGAGCGGAUGAAGGGAGCUUGCUCCUGGAUUCAGCGGCGGACGGGUGAGUAAUGCCUAGGAAUCUGCCUGGUAGUGGGGGAUAACGUCCGGAAACGGGCGCUAAUACCGCAUACGUCCUGAGGGAGAAAGUGGGGGAUCUUCGGACCUCACGCUAUCAGAUGAGCCUAGGUCGGAUUAGCUAGUUGGUGGGGUAAAGGCCUACCAAGGCGACGAUCCGUAACUGGUCUGAGAGGAUGAUCAGUCACACUGGAACUGAGACACGGUCCAGACUCCUACGGGAGGCAGCAGUGGGGAAUAUUGGACAAUGGGCGAAAGCCUUAUCCAGCCAUGCCGCGUGUGUGAGGAAGGCCUUCGGAUUGUAAAGCACUUUAAGUUGGGAGGAAGGGCAGUAAGUUAAUACCUUGCUGUUUUGACGUUACCAACAGAAUAAGCACCGGCUAACUUCGUG